UUGGGGGCGGGGCCUGUUGCCCCUUUCUGCGCGAGCUGUUAAACUAGGUUUGAGUGUGGUAUCCUGGAGGUUUAAGUUGUCAAAUGCGAGGGGAGCCGUGGAUGCCUUAUGAAGUCACGUUCUGGGAUCGCUGAAAUCCAAAGGUUUCUUUUUGUCACGUGGCUCUCUCAUCUUUCCCAGCAGGUUCUGGGGUGGGAGACCCCGGGUGUGGGGAUGAGGAUCUCGCUUCUUUGGGGAAGUGAGUUCUCCGCUGCUUGCGUCGAAGGAACCUCGAGAAUGUAGCUCUUCAAACCUUCUUAAUUCUUCUCAGUUCUCCUGCCGUACGACCUCCCUAGCUCCUUCUCAGCAGAAGACCUUGCCUUCGCGGAAGGAAUGCAACAUCACAUCAAGGACACUCGUCUCCAGGGUCACUGUUCUACCCAAUGGGCGUACAGCAGAAGGCAAAACAACAGUGGAGCUUACAUUCUAGCGAGGAAAAACAGACAUUAUGUCAGGUGGUGAUCAGUGUGAAGAAAAAAGUAAAGCAGAGGAGAAAGAGAUCAACAGUACCAAGGCAGCAUUCAGAUAUGAGACAACAUUGGGUGCACCAUGGAUCCAUGAGUCCUAAGGAAUUGUGUGAUGCUGGGAAAUGGGCUGCAUUAAGGAAAUGAGCAUUGGAAAUUUAUGCUGGAAUGUUUUUGAGUUAUCUCUGCACGUAUGAAUGGCUUUGUGAUUAUAAAAAACAAUUUUAUGUGUCUCGGUUUCAUGUUUAUAUCUUUUGUUAAUUAAAAAUAAUUAUUUCUUGA
This is a long non-coding RNA of Equus caballus (horse), 785 nucleotides long. RefSeq lists it as uncharacterized. Lineage: Eukaryota; Metazoa; Chordata; Mammalia; Perissodactyla; Equidae. The record is from RefSeq and is a predicted model, not a curated record.